Molecule: ribosomal RNA, 465 nt
Filed under: Vreelandella stevensii
Lineage: Bacteria; Pseudomonadati; Pseudomonadota; Gammaproteobacteria; Oceanospirillales; Halomonadaceae
Description: partial 16S ribosomal RNA
Rfam family: Bacterial small subunit ribosomal RNA
Source: RNAcentral
CCUACGGGAGGCUGCAGUGGGGAAUAUUGGACAAUGGGCGAAAGCCUGAUCCAGCCAUGCCGCGUGUGUGAAGAAGGCCUUCGGGUUGUAAAGCACUUUCAGUGGGGAAGAAAGCCUUGGGGCUAAUACCCUCGAGGAAGGACAUCACCCACAGAAGAAGCACCGGCUAACUCCGUGCCAGCAGCCGCGGUAAUACGGAGGGUGCGAGCGUUAAUCGGAAUUACUGGGCGUAAAGCGCGCGUAGGCGGUCUGAUAAGCCGGUUGUGAAAGCCCCGGGCUCAACCUGGGAACGGCAUCCGGAACUGUCAGGCUAGAGUGCAGGAGAGGAAGGUAGAAUUCCCGGUGUAGCGGUGAAAUGCGUAGAGAUCGGGAGGAAUACCAGUGGCGAAGGCGGCCUUCUGGACUGACACUGACGCUGAGGUGCGAAAGCGUGGGUAGCAAACAGGAUUAGAUACCCCUGUAGUC